UUUUGUUUGCUCUUUUAAGCAAACAUUACAUUAAUUUAAAAUUCUAUAAGCAAUAAAACAAAACUUACUGCACAUUUGAUGCAGAAUGAUGUUUUAUUUAGUGUGCAUAUGAUUUUCAGCUUAUGGACAAGAAAACAUUACUUCAACAAUCACAGCAACUCAAUGAGAUCCCUAUUUUAAAGAAAUAAUGCCACCUUUCAUUAAUUAAUUCAUUCAUUCUAUCAAUCAUUCAUAUAUAUUCAUUUAUUUAUUCAGUUUAUACAUUGAAAAACUUGACAUUUCUCAAGGCAAAAGAAAUAAAAAGUGAGCCGCUUUCAUAAAGAUUAGAGCCUUUUCCCUUCAUGCAUUAAAAAACAACCUUAAUACAUUAUAAAUGUCUUUAAACCCUAAUGUAUUGUUUAUUUCAAUAGCCAGCCUGGUUGCUGUAGCCACAGGGGAAUCUUCAAGGACAAGAACCAGUGCUGGUAAAAAUGUGGUCUUGUGUGGUUUUCCAUACCGGCUCUCAGCAAGGAUUUCAGAGAAAGGAAUACCGUCUCCAAAUCAUGAUGUGCUUAUAAGCUCCAGUUAGCUGCGCCUUUUUCCUCCCGGCAGUAGUCCUGCAAUCUGAAUCCAGGAGAUGCAGCUCUGAAUCCAAUAUUUCAGAAGAAUGAAGAUAAAACUGAAGCCUUCAGGAAGUCAAUGCCACCAUGAUAUUGAUUUACUCAGCUCUGAUGUACUCAGCUGUGAUGUAACAUGCCUUCAAGCCACUAUUCGAAGAACAUUCAGACAUUCUAAAUGGACCAUUGCCCUGUUGCCAUGAAAAUCAUUAUGAGGAGGAGCACACACAAACUGUCACUUGUUUUGAAUACGAGAUGUACCACAAACUUACCAUAAACUAUUCGGAUGCUCUGUUUAUUUCAUCAGCCAAUUUCGAUGUAUAUUUUACUGAAUAACGACAAACAAUCUUUAUUAACGAUGCUCAGCUCUUACUCAUAAGCAUCUCUUACUCAUCCGUACCGUAUUAUAUCAUGCAUAGGACACACUUUUUUACCCCCAAUUCUUGUCUUAAAAAUUGUCUGCGUCCUUUCUAUGCUAUUAGAAUUUCAUCUGUUUUUUUCUAAGUCCAUUUCAGGUCAAAAAUAUCGGACCGGGGCAGAACGCUGUAAUAGUAAGUAUCUGUACUGCGUCACCGAAGAGAACAACUGACAUAGGUAAAAUCACGCAAGUUAACACACGCAGAAAUAUAUUGAAUGUUUACUUUAAAAUGAAUUACUGAGAAAUAAAUUGAAAACAAACAUGAGUGUUUACUUUUUUACAAAAGGGACGCUACUCACAAAAACUCGAUGUGAGUCAGCACUAUAACUGGAUUGAGUUAUAACGGCAACGGAAAAUCGGGAAAGGAGGUAAAUAUCAAUUAAUCGUUGUUCAUGAUUUUAAUGUUUCGAUUAUUUACAAAACAUUUUGUUGUAUCUUACUGUUUUAAAAAAAAUAAUAAAGGAAUGUGCAUAACACAAAGUAGCAUUAUUGUCACUAUUAAAUUUUUUCAAAUGUGCGAAGGUGUGAAAAACACCCGCUGUCUGGCAUUAGAAAAACAUCAAUAGAACGAACUAUUGAGAUGGUAAUACGGUAUAGUUGAUUGUUCGCACUUUACCCGUAGUGCCUUCCGCUGGCAAGGAUAAUUACCGACACGCAUUAAUUAUGCCUGACAUGCUUUAAUCCGCGCAGCGACAAGCCUUAUCAAAACAAUCAUCAGUUUUGACAAUACACAGUUUUGCAACGGUUGCAACGGUUGACUGUCAUUCAGAAGGCAUGUCGGGACUAUUGCAACGGUUGCAACGGUUGACUGUCAGUCAGAAGGUGUGUCGGGACUAUUACGGCAUUUGUAUAAGUCUUAUAAUAUACGUAAAUGUUCUGAAAAUGUCAAGACUUAUAUCAUUGUUGUGUACACUAAAUUACCGAAAUAUGACGGUAAUUAUCGAAAUACACAAGCCAGUUAUCGAAAUAUGCCUGAGAUACAUUUUUUUUUUACUUCAAUAUAUGUUAUAAAUACUUGACCAACCUGAAUUUUUCGGCUCCGAUUUUGACAUUUUUCCGCUGCGUCUUAUACCAUUUUUUCAACUAUUUUUUUGCCUGCGUCCUAUCUAUGCUAGCGUCCUAUACAUGAUAUAAUACGGUAUUCCACAACUAAACAUGCUUGCAAUUACACUGUACCAUCUAUCAUAAUAUAGCAAUGCUGCAAUUACCACAUUUUUUGUACCAGUUGUUGCUUUAUACUGAAACUUUCAUUGAAAAUGGUGCAUAAACACUGAUAACACAUAAAUGUUUCAUUCAGACAUUUGUACAUGUUCUUUCAGUGUAUAUGUUGAUAAUGCUGAUACAUUUUUCAUGUGCAUUUACACAUGUGUUUAUUGCCAACCUCAUCAAAACAUGCAUAGUUUGCUCACAUACAUAUUUCCAACACAGACAUUUACUGAAUGUAUUACUACUUGACAUUGAUUUUGAUAUGUAAAUAAAACAUUGUACUACUCGUUUGUACAAAACACUUUUCAUUUGCUAUGUUGUUUGUUUCCAUGUUCUGUCUGCAUGCAGAUGGUAUUUUCAUAUCAAUUUUUAGCUAAACUAUUCGUAGAAUAUGGAGAGCUAUACUACUCACCCAAGCGUCGGCGUCAGCGUCACACCUUGGUUAAGGUUUUGCUUGCAAGCACACAUAGGUAAAUCUCUCAUUAAGAACUUGAGGUAUUGCAUUGAGACUUGAUACAAUGGUACUCAACAAUCCAACCUACUGAAUCAACAAAGUUAGAUAACUCUAGUUUGCAUUUAAUCCAAAUAAUAGGACUUUAUUAUUCGUCUUAGAAAUUCUGAUUAAGGUUUUGCGUGCAAGCACACAUAGGUUAAUAUCUCAGCAGCUACUUGAGGUAUUGCAUUGAGACUUGAUACGAUGGUACUCAACCAUCCAACCUAUAAAUUGACCAAAUAAGGUCACUUGACUUUUCAUUUAAUGCAAAUGAUAGGCCUUUAUUAUUCGACUUAGAUAUUCUGAUUAAGGUUUUGUGAGCAAGUACACAUUAUAUAAAUAUCAAAGCAACUACUUCAUGUAUUGCAUUGAGACUCAUACAAUUGUACUCAACCAUCAAACUUCCCCAUGUAAGAUAGCUCUAGUUUCAUUUAAUACAAAUAAUUGCCCUUUAUUAUUUGACAUAGAAAUUUUGGUUAAGGUUUUGCGUGUAAGCACACAUAGGUAAAUUUCCCAGCAACUACUCGAUGUAUUGCAUUGAGACUUUAUAGAAUGGUAUUUAACCACUCAAUGUAAUUGAAUAACCAAGAUAUAUAACUGUAAUUUGCAAAUAAUUGCCCUUUAUUAUUAGACUUAAACAUUCUGGUUGAAAUUUUCCAUGUAAUCACAUUUAUGUUAAUAUCUCACCACAUGAAUUGCAUUGAAAUCUUAUCUAACCGUGAACCAUGCAUGUUUCGCCAAAACUUUUCAAUCCUUGCACUGAAAAGCGGCUGAAUAGUCGAGCCUGCUGUCUCUGUGACAGCUCUUGUUCAACAUUAACGUGAUGUUCAUUUCCAUUGUGAAACUUAUCCCUUGGGAACAAUAUUAACAUCUUUUAGCAUACAUGCCUGGAUGAGUUUUAAAAAAUGACCAUAUUAUGCAUACUUAGUAUUACUUACUGCAUGAAAAUAUACAAUGGCAUACAUUUCAUAUCAACUUGUGUAUCUGUAUUUCCCUUUCAACUACUUCGAAAUAACAAACGUCCCAACCCUAAAAUGUUCAAAAAUAUUCUACAUACAUUAUUUUUAUCUUGCACUGUAUAUAUAUGUUCUAUAUGUAUAUAUCACGCCUAAUAAAAUUGAAGCCUGUCAAC
Mya arenaria is the source of this 3845-nucleotide long non-coding RNA. RefSeq lists it as uncharacterized. Lineage: Eukaryota; Metazoa; Mollusca; Bivalvia; Myida; Myidae. The transcript is spliced from 3 exons. The record is from RefSeq and is a predicted model, not a curated record.